CCGUCGGCUCUAGGCGCGCGAGCGUCUUUUGCCACCGCCGCGGCCGCUCCGGCUGUAGAAGUCGCUCCGGAAAGGCUGCGAGUUGCUCGCUAUGAAGCGGGCGUCCGGGCAGGACUCGAGAGCUGCUCGGGACUCUCUUGGGGAGCCCAACUAGGCAUGAAGACGAUAUUCUGGCGGAGUUUGUAACCUCCCGCGUCGCUUGAGGGAAAGGGCGGCCACUCGCUGUCAGUCCUUGGCCGGGAUCUGCAGCCGCGGCUAGACUGCCUUCUGCCUGUCCCGGGCGCGGUUCUUGGCUCGGUCCGAAGCCUACGAAGAGGAUGGAGGCACCGCCGCCGCCCUGCUCCAAGAAGAGCCUGUCCCUCUCGCUGCCGGUGCCGCGGGAGGGACAGGCCACCCUCAAGCCGCCCCAGCACCUUUGGAGGCAGCCCCGGACGCCCAUCAAAAUCAAGCAUCGCGGCUACUCGGACACGGAGCGGCACCCCCACCGGCAGAUCGAGAGAGCGGACGCCAUGGACACGAGCGACCGUCCCGGCCUGAAGAAGUCUCGCAUGUCCUGGCCGUCUUCGUUCCACGGGACCACCAGCAUCGGCGUCGGCCACAGCCACGGGGGCAAGCGAAAGGAAACUAAAAGCCCUAGCUGGCCAUCACUGUACCACCAUUAGAAGAGGGAACUGGAGUUCAAGAUAGAUCAGGUAAGGGCAACUUUGCUAAUUUAAAUGAGGGCUCCAGGGUCAGAUGAAUUACACCUUAGAGUACCAAAGUAACUAGCAGAGCCAUAUAAUCUUUGAGAGAUCUUGGAGAAUUGGCAAUAUCUCAGAAGAUUAAAAGAGAGAAAACGCCAUCCCAAUUUUCAAUAUAAAAAAAAGAAAGGCAGAGAAAUGAGGAAGUUACAGACCUGUCAGUUUGGCAUCUAUACUGGACAAGAAUUGCCCUAUUGGAGAGAUGGGCAGCAUAUACAUUUAAUAAACUAUUAAAGAGCCUCAAACAGAUUAUUAAACAGCAUGUUUACGAACACUUGAAUAAUAACACAAAUGUGAUGUAGUGUUUAAGGCACCAGGCUAGAAACGGGAAGAGUGUGAGUUCUAGUCCCAUCUUAGACAUGAAGCCAGCUCGGUGAUCUUGGGCCAGUCCCCCUCUCUCAACCCUGAGAAACUGGCAAGGGCAAACCACUUCUCUCUCCCCCCCCCAAAAAAAAAAAUGCCAAGAAAACUGCAGAGACUAAUCCAGGCAGUCACCAGGAGGAGUUAAUGACUGGAAGUUACAAAAACUGUCAACUAGUGGAAAAAGCUGUCCCAUUAGGUUCUCCUUCAGUGGAGAUUUUCAAACUGUGUCAAGAUUUGGAAGAGACUUCAAAAGCAUGAAUCAAAUAUUUUCCAUGUGUGGUUGCAUUGGGAGGACACAAUUGUUGAGUUGAAUUUGAAAAGGAUUAUUCUUUUCACUGGGAUUCAUUAGAUGCCUUUCAAGUGUAAAAAUUGAUCAAGCUGCAGUCGCUUACAUUAAUCUUAAAACACUGAGAGCCUGCAAAAAACAUCUUCAGCCACCAAUGCACACCUCCUUUCCAUUCAGCUGAGUUAUGAAGAAUGGAACCAUUAGAAGAAGCAACAUCAUCCAGUCAAUGCCCCCUCUCCCUCUUUCUCUUGUUGUAGAAUAACAACAAUCCAUCUGGACUCAAAAGAAAUAAAACAAAUGUCUAAUCUGUCCUUCCUCCAUGUUUUUCACAUAAAUAUAAAUUUGUCUGGUAGUUUGCAAACAAAACCUGUUGUAAUAGAGAAGAUUGAUUAUAAAAGCAUAAACAAAAAACAUUAUCAUCCUCCAAAGACUCUCCAGUUAUUUUGCUGCCAUUGUCAGUUGCAUUUAAGUGUUUGUGUAAGUUGUAAAGGAGAAUUGCUAGCAUGCCAGCAAUUUUGCAAUGGAGUGCUUUCCCCAGUAAUUAUGAAAAUAAUUGCAUGUUGCUUGGAUAGAUGAUGGAAUGGGAAAAAGUAAGCUCCUGAUGAUAAAGGUAAAACUAGGUAAGUUAUAACAGGAUGCUGAACAUUUCUGAGACAUUGGGGGAGUAAUGACUGGCUUGAAUCCAAGAGAGGGACAGAAGCAAGUCUUUCUGCCUGUGUAUAAACACAUAUUCUGCAGAACUAAUGCAAAAAAAAAAAAAGACCAACUUUGCUAUGUUUCAAAUAAACUGUAGUAGAUAAAUAAAUUGAUUCCUUUCUCCCAAAUAGACAAUGAGAUAGAUCAGGUCUGGAACCAAUCCGCAAGGGAUAUGGAGCUCCCCUGUGUAUGAGAAUGAGGGAGAAUAUAUGAGCUUUGACAAAGUUACCUCUGCAACAUUUUCUGUUAGACUUGGAUGCUCAUUGCCACCUCCUGUUAUGCCUAGAAACUCAUCACCAUCUACCCCAAGCAUGAGGAUUAGCCAGGCCUGUACAAUAUAAGACAGCUUCAUAACCGGAUAGCAUUCUUCAAACGGUAUUCCCUUACAAAGUUACUUAUAAGAAUGGAUGGCAGAGUUGGCAUAUACCUCAAGGCUGCCAACUCAAAUUAGGAACAGCUUUAUGGCAAGAACAAAUGUUUUGAGGGUACGCAAGAAUGAAAUCGAAUUAAAAGAUGGAAGAAGGAGACCAUCGAGCAAGGAAUAACAUUAAAGGAGGAUAUGGCUGAAGGAUCUGACUUCUCUUAUACUACUUGGAGGACUCUGAAUAGGUUGAGAGUUGGAAUGCCUAAAUGUAAAACCAAUAUGCUCAAGUGGAGGCUCUUAGUGGAUAACAACCACUAUGUGAAUGUGGAGAGACACAGAGCCCAACCUGGAAACGUGUACUGAUAAUGAUUAUUCUUUUUGGCCAACAGCCAAGAAGGUGGCUUCAUUCUGGCAUUUUAAAGUUUGAUGGAGGCAAAGGAAAUGGAGGCAUAAAGUAUUUUUAUUGUAAAGGGACUAUUUCAACAACCCUGUUAUAAAGUCUAAAUACAGCAGCCAACUAUUUAAUAAAGUUUUUCAGAUUCUUGCUUGCAAAUGUAGCAAGCCCUAAA
Molecule: RNA transcript, 3018 nt
Organism: Crotalus tigris (Tiger rattlesnake)
Lineage: Eukaryota; Metazoa; Chordata; Lepidosauria; Squamata; Viperidae
Gene name: cAMP-specific 3',5'-cyclic phosphodiesterase 4A-like
Exons: 2
Source: RefSeq, a predicted model, not a curated record